UCCGUCCACCUAAAACUUCUCUCUCAUCUUUUAUUCCAUCCAUAAUCCUUUUCUUUCCUAACACCUAAGCCUUCAUCUUCCUUCUUCCUCUUAUCUUUCCCUUUCCCUUCUCAUCUUUCUUCUUCCUUAUCCGGCCACCAUUUUCACCCUCUUCACCUUCAUUCCCUCUCCAUUUUCGACCAUCUUUCUUAGAAUAUUUUCUUUUCCCAUUUUUUCUUCAUUUUGGUCACCGAUUUCUCUAUUGAGUUUCGUUUGGCUGUCAAUCUACUACCAAUAUUUGCUUCUAAACCCAUUUGACCGUCGGUAGUCUCCUUUAUUAAACCCCAAUUCGACCACGUACUUGGAAAGGGUACACAUUCCUUCAAUUUUUUUAGUACUGUUUUAGAAUCGAUUCCUCUUCUCUUUUGUUUCGUACAUGGCUUGUCUUCUAGACUUGCCACUCGGAUCUAUUAUGCAUCCUUCGUCUUUCCCUUGCUACUUGGAUCACGCCAUUGCUGCUCCGAUUUUUCUAUUAUGAUGAGUUAUGGAUAUUACCCGGUUGUGGCCUUGGUGGAUCCGAGUAAGGUAGAGGUUUUAACAAUUUCAUAUCUAUCAUGCGUACGCGAUGGUAGGUCACUAAUCGAAGUGCGCACGAGUACGUGUCGAGAUCUAUCUUGAGAUACUAGGUUAUCCACAUCUUCACACAUAAAAGAAUUGUUUAGGGGCAUUAGACAACAUGUUCAUCAAAGUUAACGUGUCCGUAGCUGAUUGGCCAAGAUAUCGGACCUGAAAAGGUGAAAUGGCAACGAAUGUCCUCGACGUAUGCGAUAUAAAGGGGGACUUUGUUUUUGUCUUAGCCGAUUGUGAAGGAUCCACAGCAGACGUGCGUAUCCUACGAAAUACAAUUUCUUAAUACCUAACGGUCUGAAGGUUCCAAAGGGGUUUUACUACCUGUGCGACACGGGAUACCCAAAUGCAUAGAGUUUUCUAGCGUCGUAUAGGGGGCAACACUAUCCUCUAUAGGAGUGGCAUGGUGUCGAGAACGCUUUAACAACACUGAAGAAGUUCUUCAACAUAAAACAUUCUUCUGCACGGAAUGUCAUUGAAAGAGUGUUCGACAUGUUGAAGGGAUGUUGGAUGAUACUAUUUGGGAAGUCCCACUACCCAAUUCAAGUCCAAUGUUAAACUAUUAUGGAUCGUUGUCUCCUCCAUAAUUUAAUAAAUCGAGAGAUGACAAACACGAACAUAUUGAAUGACAAAGAUGAGGGUGACUCGACACACACAACUACUAGUGGUGACAACAUCAACUACAUUGAGGCCUCAAAUGAAUGGACUCAAUGGAGGGAUACAUUUGCGGAGUUUAUGUUCAACGAAUGACAAUUGCGUGACGACUAGUAUCGUUUGUUUUAUAGUACAACCCCGUUAUUAAAACGGUUGUAGUAUGCGUAUUUUCUUGUUUCUUUGUUGUCCUCUUAUUGUGUAUACUGAGGCUUAGUUUAAAAAAACUUUGUCCUUCAUGUUUAAUCAUUGUACUACUUCGUCGGUUUAUAUGUUUAUAUGUUUUUUGUUUCGUAAAA
Cucumis melo (muskmelon) is the source of this 1556-nucleotide long non-coding RNA. RefSeq lists it as uncharacterized. Lineage: Eukaryota; Viridiplantae; Streptophyta; Magnoliopsida; Cucurbitales; Cucurbitaceae. The record is from RefSeq and is a predicted model, not a curated record. The transcript has 5 exons.